GCCCGCCUAGCUCAAUCGGAUAGAGCGUCAGACUCUUAAUGCGGGUUUAUCUGAAGGCUGCGAGUUCGACCCUCGCGGUGGGCU
Molecule: non-coding RNA, 84 nt
Organism: Panus rudis PR-1116 ss-1
Lineage: Eukaryota; Fungi; Basidiomycota; Agaricomycetes; Polyporales; Panaceae
Source: the annotation of a GenBank genome assembly